RNAcentral lists this ribosomal RNA (464 nucleotides) under uncultured bacterium. RNAcentral's name for it is "partial 16S ribosomal RNA". It matches the Rfam family "Bacterial small subunit ribosomal RNA", at positions 27 to 507 of the family's 1533-position model. The record is from RNAcentral.
GGAUGAACGCUGACAGAAUGCUUAACACAUGCAAGUCUUUGGCGAAUCUGUGCUUGCACAGGUUAGCCAAGGCGGACGGGUGAGUAACGCGUAAAGAACUUGCCCUGCAGACAGGGAUAACAGACGGAAACGACUGAUAACACCUGAUACAAUUGCCGGCGCGCAUGUGCCUGGCAAUGAAAAGAGAUGCUGCAGGAGAGCUUUGCGUCCUAUUAGCUUGUUGGUGAGGUGACGGCUCACCAAGGCGAUGAUAGGUAGCCGGCCUGAGAGGGUGAACGGCCACAAGGGGACUGAGAUACGGCCCUUACGCCUACGGGAGGCAGCAGUGGGGAAUAUUGGACAAUGGGGGCAACCCUGAUCCAGCAAUUCUGUGUGCACGAAGAAGGUUUUCGGAUUGUAAAGUGCUUUCAGCAGGGAAGAAGAAAGUGACGGUACCUGCAGAAGAAGCGACGGCUAAAUACGUG